AAGGAGGAAGACCUGAGGAGAUACAGGGCAGAAAAAGGAAUAACAUCACUAUUGGAAAAUCUUAGAUCAGUGCUUGAGAUAUUUUGCCAACACUGAAAUUGAUGGACCAGCUGGCACCACCCAGAUUGACAAAAUGGCUCAUCUGAUCUUGUGCCCCCUCAACCCAGGAACUGACUCAACAGAAGAGCACAGCUUUGACUCCGUAUGAUUUCAUUUCCAACACAACCAAUCAGCACUCCUGACCACUGGCCCCCAACCCACCAAAUUAUCCUUAAAAACUCCAAUCCCUGAAUGCUCGGCAAGACUGAUUUGAGUAAUAAUAUUUCAGUCUCCUGCACAGCCGACUCUGUGUGGAUAACUCUUUCUCUAUUGCAGCUCUCCUGUCUUGAUAAAUUGGCUCUGUCUAGGCAGCAGGCAAGGUGAACCCACUGGGCAGUUACUGUAGCCUCCACCUAAUAGAAUUCUAAUUUAGUGCCUCGUAGAAAGAAUGAAGUCCUUCAGUGAUCAGCAUGGGAAUCAUUUUGCUUAGCUUAUCUCACCUAGGAACCAUGCUCC
Molecule: long non-coding RNA, 555 nt
Organism: Homo sapiens (human)
Lineage: Eukaryota; Metazoa; Chordata; Mammalia; Primates; Hominidae
Source: Ensembl